AUUUCUUCUUGGUAUAGUUUUAUAGAGUCUGAUAUAUCUUCAAUUUCAGCAAACUCAUUGUGAGCAUAUUCAAAUUUUGGUGGAUUUCUAGCCUUGAGUAUGCUCCUGUCUAGGAAUGGAGGGACUUUGAUUGGUACACCUCUGGCUGUUUCACCCCAAGAAUUCACAAAUUCCAUUGCUCCAAUUCCAUCAAACAUGCAAUGGUUCAAGGUACACCUCUAGCAGUUUCACCCCAAGAAUUCACAAAUUCCAUUGCUCCAAUCCCAUCAAACAUGCAAUGGUUCAUGCACAAACCAAGCACAAAUCCCCCACAUUUGAACUUUGUCACCU
RNAcentral lists this long non-coding RNA (330 nucleotides) under Nicotiana benthamiana. RNAcentral's name for it is "long non-coding RNA (NBEN_LNC041956)". Lineage: Eukaryota; Viridiplantae; Streptophyta; Magnoliopsida; Solanales; Solanaceae. The record is from RNAcentral.